CCUACGGGAGGCUGCAGUAGGGAAUCUUCCACAAUGGGCGAAAGCCUGAUGGAGCAACGCCGCGUGGGUGAAGAAGGUCUUCGGAUCGUAAAACCCUGUUGUUAGAGAAGAAAGUGCGUGAGAGUAACUGUUCACGUUUCGACGGUAUCUAACCAGAAAGCCACGGCUAACUACGUGCCAGCAGCCGCGGUAAUAAGUAGGUGGCAAGCGUUAUCCGGUUUUAUUGGGCGUAAAGGGAACGCAGGCGGUCUUUUAAGUUUGAUGUGAAAGCCUUCGGCUUAACCGGAGUAGGGCAUUGGAAACUGGGAGAAUUGAGUGCAGAAGAGGAGAGUGGAACUCCAUGUGUAGCGGUGAAAUGCGUAGAUAUAUGGAAGAACACCAGUGGCGAAAGCGGCUCUCUGGUCUGUAACUGACGCUGAGGUUCGAAAGCGUGGGUAGCAAACAGGAGUAGAUACCCUAGUAGUC
This 465-nucleotide ribosomal RNA is filed under the name uncultured bacterium. Its description in RNAcentral is "partial 16S ribosomal RNA". It matches the Rfam family "Bacterial small subunit ribosomal RNA", at positions 338 to 795 of the family's 1533-position model. The record is from RNAcentral.